Molecule: long non-coding RNA, 1848 nt
Organism: Myzus persicae (green peach aphid)
Lineage: Eukaryota; Metazoa; Arthropoda; Insecta; Hemiptera; Aphididae
Exons: 4
Source: RefSeq, a predicted model, not a curated record
UCUUAAGAUAAUAAAUUAUUACUCAAUAACAAAUUACAAAAUUAGUUCUAAGUAAAUUAAUAAGAUAAAAUUAUCAGUUUGAUGUUUAUGAAGCAUCAGAAUAUUAAAAUAAUAAGUCUUUCAUAUAAAUAUAUAGUGGCUUUUUUCUAUACUUUAAUCAAUAAAUACAAUAAGGUUAAAUUUUUAAAUAUUUGGUCAAGCUUUUUUUAGUGUGUAUUGUAAGUGGAAUAUUUUGGUCGAAGAAUCAAGUGGGGAUUGGAUCCAGUUAAUACAUGGAGCAGUUUCAUCUGGAAAAUGAAUAUGCAUACUUAAUAUUUAGGGAAUGCAAUUUUUUGAGAAUCUUGGCCUAAGAUUUUGUUGUGCCAGUGGGGAAAUAACGUCAUGAGUCUGUGCUUUUGGGCAGUGGUAGAACCACCUGGCGAGUUAAAAGUUUGACACAAAGCAAGAUUCUCGGGCACCAGUGGAGUAGGUAUAUUUUAUGAUACACAAUUUGGUGGAUAUUGAGUGAGUAAUAAUGAUUUACCAAACGACGACUCAUUAGAGUAAAAAAUAUUUGUUUUUAAAUGCAAUGACUCAUUUUAUAAUAAAUAAUUAUUAAUCACCCAACUUAUAACAAAAAUUGAAAACCACUUUUAAAAUAUCGAAAAUUUAAAAUACCAAUAAGUAGCACACAAAAAGCAGAAAUAUUUUGAACUAUAUUUCAUGUACUAUAUUAAUUAUUCGAUGAAAAUUAAGUCUACAAUUGGAGAUUCAUUUUGGAGUUACAACAAAAAAAAAAAUUGAUUUUGUGAAUAAUUUGGUUUUGCGUAGUGAAAUUCCAGUUUUUUCCCAAGUUAUUUGAUUGUUUUUCCGGAUUGUUUUUAAUUGCACUAAAUUUUUUUUUUUUUCCCCUGGUUUCCAACUACAUAUUUAAUCUGUUACAAGUACCAAUUCUUGAAAUAAAAGUACAAACAGACAUAUUUUUUUAAAUAAUUGGACAAAUUAUAAUUUGGGCAUCAGCCAAAAAUUAACGAAAAAAAAAAUUGAAAUAUAAACGUGACUCUCUAAUUGAAUAUAGCAGGUGAUGUGUCUUAUGAAUUUUGUAGUAGCUAUUGGAUAACACGGGGAUGAGUUAUUUCCAGUUUUUUAAUAUUUUCAGUUAUCGACUGGGCAUUGCAGAGUGCAGACUGAAGCUGCCAUUGCUAUUGCCUCCGUCCGAACACGUCUCCCAUAGAAAAGAGGUCACGCCACACCCGAAGUGUCAGUCCAUCUCAGAAAGUUGGACCGAACACGUUUUGGUCUUUGGCUGGUCACUGUCCUACUCUUCGUCCGUUAUCGGAUGUCGAACGCUCGUCACGUGAUGCACACCUGGUGCAGUUGCACACUUGCUGCAGAGGAGCAUCUCCUCUGCCUUCUGGAGUUCUACGCCAUUCUUAGCCACUGCUACAGUUUAUGUCCUCGAGUCCGCUGUUCUCCGUCCGUUUCGAGUUCACACCGCUAUGUUUCCCAAGCCAUUGACUUCUUUCAGUGGUUCUCGUGGCCACCGUCAACUGUUGAGCAACACAUUUCUGCAGUGUCGUGCACUUUGAACUUUUUCGCUCCAAUACAAUGAGAGCGACGUGCAGUUUGACGUCUUUAUGCCUUUGCGAUCGGCGGCGUACUGUUGCAGGCCCGAUUGGGCUCUCCCUUCGAUGUCUCCGAAACUGCAUCGUUGUUACCUUUCUGGCUGUUUAUUGAAACCCGUUUUUUGACUUAAUUCUUAAGAAUUUAAAGUACCUUCCUAGCUGUUCAUAUUUGUUUAACCUAAGCUUAGAUUAAUCAACUUUAUACCAUUUGCAUUAAUUUUAAAAAUAAAUAUUGUGUCUGGAA